RNAcentral lists this unclassified non-coding RNA (520 nucleotides) under uncultured Glomus. RNAcentral's name for it is "SSU rRNA". It matches the Rfam family "Eukaryotic small subunit ribosomal RNA", at positions 569 to 1092 of the family's 1831-position model. The record is from RNAcentral. Lineage: Eukaryota; Fungi; Glomeromycota; Glomeromycetes; Glomerales; Glomeraceae.
AGCAGCCGCGGUAAUUCCAGCUCCAAUAGCGUAUAUUAAAGUUGUUGCAGUUAAAAAGCUCGUAGUUGAAUUUCGGGAUCAAUAUGUUGGUCGUGCCUCGGUACGUACUAGCAUAUUGGUUUUUCCUUUCUGAAGAACAUGAUGUCAUUCAUUUGGUGUCGUGGGGAAUCAGGACUGUUACUUUGAAAAAAUUAGAGUGUUUAAAGCAGGCUCACGCUUGAAUACAUUAGCAUGGAAUAAUGAAAUAGGACGUUUGAUUCUAUUUUGUUGGUUUCUAGGAUCGACGUAAUGAUUAAUAGGGAUAGUUGGGGGCAUUAGUAUUCAAUUGUCAGAGGUGAAAUUCUUGGAUUAUUGGAAGACUAACUACUGCGAAAGCAUUUGCCAAGGAUGUUUUCAUUAAUCAAGAACGAAAGUUAGGGGAUCGAAGACGAUCAGAUACCGUCGUAGUCUUAACCAUAGACUAUGCCGACUAGGGAUCGGAUGAUGUUAAUUUUUUCAAUGACUCAUUCGGCGCCUUACG